ACAGCAUCAAUGAUGUACACCUUCCUUUUGUUAUCCUUGCACUUUGAUUACCUGUGAAGAAACUUGUGGGGAAAUUUUAGUCUGAGAUGCUU
This 92-nucleotide small nucleolar RNA is filed under the name Macleaya cordata. Its description in RNAcentral is "Small nucleolar RNA snoR26". It matches the Rfam family "Small nucleolar RNA snoR26". The record is from Rfam by way of RNAcentral. Lineage: Eukaryota; Viridiplantae; Streptophyta; Magnoliopsida; Ranunculales; Papaveraceae.